This 255-nucleotide ribosomal RNA is filed under the name uncultured bacterium. Its description in RNAcentral is "partial 16S ribosomal RNA". It matches the Rfam family "Bacterial small subunit ribosomal RNA", at positions 524 to 776 of the family's 1533-position model. The record is from RNAcentral.
UACGGGGGGGAGCAAGCGUUGUUCGGAUUUACUGGGCGUAAAGGGCGCGUAGGCGGCCAGCACAAGUCAGUUGUGAAAUCUCCGAGCUUAACUCGGAAAGGUCAACUGAUACUGUGCGGCUAGAGUGCGGAAGGGGCAACUGGAAUUCUUGGUGUAGCGGUGAAAUGCGUAGAUAUCAAGAGGAACACCUGCGGCGAAGGCGGGUUGCUGGGCCGACACUGACGCUGAUGCGCGAAAGCCAGGGGAGCGAACGGG